RNAcentral lists this ribosomal RNA (511 nucleotides) under uncultured bacterium. RNAcentral's name for it is "bacterial SSU rRNA". It matches the Rfam family "Bacterial small subunit ribosomal RNA", at positions 34 to 518 of the family's 1533-position model. The record is from RNAcentral.
CGCUGGCGGCGUGCCUAAUACAUGCAAGUCGAACGGCUUUUCUAUGGAAGCUUGCUUCCGCUGAGAAGAUAGUGGCGAACGGGUGAGUAACACGUGGGUAACCUGCCCAUAAGAGGGGGAUAACAUCCGGAAACGGGUGCUAAUACCGCAUAGUUUUCUUGAUCGCAUGAUCGGGAAAGGAAAGACGGCCUUUGUGCUGUCGCUUAUGGAUGGACCCGCGGCGUAUUAGUUAGUUGGUGAGGUAACGGCUCACCAAGACGAUGAUACGUAGCCGACCUGAGAGGGUGAUCGGCCACAUUGGGACUGAGACACGGCCCAAACUCCUACGGGAGGCAGCAGUAGGGAAUCUUCCGCAAUGGACGAAAGUCUGACGGAGCAACGCCGCGUGAGUGAAGAAAGGUUUUCGGAUCGUAAAACUCUGUUGUCAGAGAAGAACAAGUUGGAGAGUAACUGCUCCAGCCUUGACGGUAUCUGACCAGAAAGCCACGGCUAACUACGUGCCAGCAGCGGC